Molecule: ribosomal RNA, 330 nt
Filed under: uncultured bacterium
Lineage: Bacteria
Description: bacterial SSU rRNA
Rfam family: Bacterial small subunit ribosomal RNA
Source: RNAcentral
UGCGUAGGCGGCUCUGUAAGUAUGGUGUGAAAUCUCCCGGCUUAACUGGGAGGGUGCGCUAUAGACUGCGGGGCUCGAGUAUGGGAGAGGAAAGUGGAAUUCCUGGUGUAGCGGUGAAAUGCGUAGAUAUCAGGAGGAACACCGGUGGUGUAAACGGCUUUCUGGACCAUAACUGACGCUGAGGCACGAAAGCGUGGGUAGCAAACAGGAUUAGAUACCCUGGUAGUCCACGCCCUAAACGAUGCACAUUUGGUGUGGGUCAUUCAGUUGAUCCGUGCCGGAGCUAACGCGUUAAAUGUGCCGCCUGGGGAGUACAGUCGCAAGGCUGAA